RNAcentral lists this ribosomal RNA (600 nucleotides) under uncultured archaeon. Its description in RNAcentral is "bacterial SSU rRNA". It matches the Rfam family "Archaeal small subunit ribosomal RNA", at positions 75 to 672 of the family's 1478-position model. The record is from RNAcentral.
GUCCCGGCGGACGGCUGAGUAACACGUGGCCAACCUACCCUCGGGAGGGGGAUAACCCCGGGAAACUGGGGCUAAUCCCCCAUAGGCCUGAGGUACUGGAAGGUCCUCAGGCCGAAAGGGGCUUUUGCCCGCCCGAGGAUGGGCCGGCGGCCGAUUAGGUAGUUGGUGGGGUAACGGCCCACCAAGCCGAAGAUCGGUACGGGCUGUGAGAGCAGGAGCCCGGAGAUGGACACUGAGACACGGGUCCAGGCCCUACGGGGCGCAGCAGGCGCGAAACCUCCGCAAUGCGGGAAACCGCGACGGGGGGACCCCGAGUGCCGUGGCACCGCCACGGCUUUUCCGGAGUGUAAAAAGCUCCGGGAAUAAGGGCUGGGCAAGGCCGGUGGCAGCCGCCGCGGUAAUACCGGCGGCCCGAGUGGUGGCCGCUAUUAUUGGGCCUAAAGCGUCCGUAGCCGGGCCCGUAAGUCCCUGGCGAAAUCCCACGGCUCAACCGUGGGGCUUGCUGGGGAUACUGCGGGCCUUGGGACCGGGAGAGGCGGGGGGUACCCCUGGGGUAGGGGUGAAAUCCUAUAAUCCCAGGGGGACCGCCAGUGGCGAAGG